This 1746-nucleotide long non-coding RNA is filed under the name Homo sapiens (human). RNAcentral describes it as "non-protein coding lnc-NR4A2-11:1". Lineage: Eukaryota; Metazoa; Chordata; Mammalia; Primates; Hominidae. The record is from RNAcentral.
GACAUAUGCAAUUUGGAAGUUUUAUAAGCAUUUAAAGCACAAAUGUCCUUUAAAAUACAACUCAAGUAAUUAAAAUGAAUUUAUGUAACUCCUACUCCAAAUCUCCAUCCCCUUCAUACCCAAUAUCUAUUAAUGAUUAUACUAAGACAUUAAAAAUUAUUGAAAAAUAUAAAGCUAAUAUCUGUUUUAAAGUGGCAAUACUAUGAGAUUUAAAAAGCACUGCUUUAGUUAGAAUAGUGCAGUUGAAAAGCUGAAAGCAAUUUUCAGCCAUAGAUGGUAAUGCCACAUUCAGUCCACAACCGAAUGACUCUAAAUGACUAAGCUGCGAGGUCUUUGUAUAUGACCACAGGGCCUGAUAAAGCCAUAGGAACACAGUAAAAGUUUGGUGAACUAUUUGUAAAUAAAAUUGCACAUUUUAUCAGAGUUCAACAUGUUCACAGUCCUCACACGACAACAUAUUUUGAUUAUUACUCAGCUAUCAUCACCAUAAAAUGGGCUAUUUUAACUCAUCAUUAUUGGUAGUUAGUUGUAUAACCCAUGCCUCCUAUAUGUGUGCCGGCAUGUUAAUUUUGUCUUACAAGACAAACAGGUAAAAUAAAGAAACUAUAUCUUUACACCACCAACUGAAUAAGGCAUUAUUAUCUAUGAUACUAUUUUCCCCCAGAAGCUUUGCCCAACGCCAAGAUAUCUUUUUGAUUAGGCAGAAAACCCUGAAAUGCAAAAAUUUCGUCUUUGAUGUUCUAUUACAAACCACUUUAAAAGGAUUCUGGGUAGUGAUACUGUGCAGGAUGAGAUGCUACCUUCCCAGAGAAUGAAGACAGAAAUAUAUUUUACAUUUCUUGUCAGAUUGAACUUUAAGACAUCCUGACUGCUUUCUCUAUAAUUUAAACAUCACAGCCAAAAUGGCAACAUGCUUUGUUCAGUUCCAGUUGUGUGGAGUUUUAGUGCUUCAUUGAUUCAGAGGAAGGCUGAGGCUGGCACGGGAGCAGGGCGACGGAAUCACACUCUCACUGCAGCAUGUCAAGCCAUUAUAUCUGGGACCAGAAUGUCACCGUGGUCUCAAUGGUUCGUCAGCUGAAGGAUAUGGUUAACAAAUGUAAAACCAAACUUCAGAGGAGCUGGUUUUCUGUGCUAAGUGAUCUGUAUUCCCUCUGAAUUUACUUUCCCCUAACCCCGUGAAAUUAACAGUACUUUCUGACAUUCGACCCCCUGACCUCACACAUAAUAAGAAUUUAAAAAGCACCAUGCAUGAGUGUGUCUCCGUAAUGCAAAACUGGAAAAAAUGACCAUGUCACAGUUUUAUUAUACAAAACCUUCUCAAUCUCCAUUGCAUGCUUCAUAUAUGAGCGCUCAGUUUAAAGUUAUUAUAAAGAAAAACACAAUUUUGAGAGUAAUAAUUCACUGUUCGUGACUUUUAUAGACAAUAAAUUGUAGCAAAUACAUAUUGCUACCAAAAAGCUUUGUACUCCAUUAAUGCAGAUAUUUACCAAGAUAAGUGUUAAAAAUAGUCCGUUAGAAGACUCUGAUGGUUCAAAAGAAGGGGCUUCCUGGGAGCCGGUUGCCAAGGGUGCAAGUGCAUGCACAAUGUGUAGGUCUCAAGGUUUAAGAGGCAGAAGCAGGAAAGUGUUACGUGGAAAUGAUUUUGUGUUAUCAGGCUCAGGGGAUGACAGCAUACAAGAGUAAGAACAAGGUGCUAUGUGGCUUUUUCUUCACUGUGAAGUAAAGAUUGGCAGCUGGAAGUAAGGC